RNAcentral lists this ribosomal RNA (253 nucleotides) under uncultured bacterium. Its description in RNAcentral is "partial 16S ribosomal RNA". It matches the Rfam family "Bacterial small subunit ribosomal RNA", at positions 524 to 776 of the family's 1533-position model. The record is from RNAcentral.
UACGUAGGGUGCAAGCGUUAAUCGGAAUUACUGGGCGUAAAGCGUGCGCAGGCGGUUUUGUAAGUCUGUCGUGAAAGCCCCGGGCUCAACCUGGGAAUUGCGAUGGAGACUGCAAGACUUGAAUCUGGCAGAGGGGGGUAGAAUUCCACGUGUAGCAGUGAAAUGCGUAGAGAUGUGGAGGAACACCGAUGGCGAAGGCAGCCCCCUGGGUCAAGAUUGACGCUCAUGCACGAAAGCGUGGGGAGCAAACAGG